CCUACGGGGGGCAGCAGUGGGGAAUAUUGGACAAUGGGCGAAAGCCUGAUCCAGCCAUGCCGCGUGUGUGAAGAAGGCCUUCGGGUUGUAAAGCACUUUCAGUGGGGAAGAAAGCCUUGGGGCUAAUACCCUCGAGGAAGGACAUCACCCACAGAAGAAGCACCGGCUAACUCCGUGCCAGCAGCCGCGGUAAUACGGAGGGUGCGAGCGUUAAUCGGAAUUACUGGGCGUAAAGCGCGCGUAGGCGGUCUGAUAAGCCGGUUGUGAAAGCCCCGGGCUCAACCUGGGAACGGCAUCCGGAACUGUCAGGCUAGAGUGCACGAGAGGAAGGUAGAAUGCGCGGUGUAGCGGUGAAAUGCGUAGAGAUCGGGAGGAAUACCGGUGGCGAAGGCGGCCUUCUGGACUGACACUGACGCUGAGGUGCGAAAGCGUGGGUAGCAAACAGGAUUAGAUACCCUAGUAGUC
RNAcentral lists this ribosomal RNA (465 nucleotides) under Vreelandella stevensii. RNAcentral's name for it is "partial 16S ribosomal RNA". It matches the Rfam family "Bacterial small subunit ribosomal RNA", at positions 338 to 795 of the family's 1533-position model. Lineage: Bacteria; Pseudomonadati; Pseudomonadota; Gammaproteobacteria; Oceanospirillales; Halomonadaceae. The record is from RNAcentral.